UACGUAGGGCGCAAGCGUUGUCCGGAAUUAUUGGGCGUAAAGAGCUCGUAGGCGGUCUGUCGCGUCCGCUGUGAAAACUCGGGGCUUAACCCCGAGCCUGCAGUGGAUACGGGCAGACUAGAGGUAGGUAGGGGAGAAUGGAAUUCCCGGUGUAGCGGUGAAAUGCGCAGAUAUCGGGAGGAACACCGGUGGCGAAGGCGGUUCUCUGGGCCUUACCUGACGCUGAGGAGCGAAAGCGUGGGGAGCGAACAGG
Molecule: ribosomal RNA, 253 nt
Filed under: uncultured bacterium
Lineage: Bacteria
Description: partial 16S ribosomal RNA
Rfam family: Bacterial small subunit ribosomal RNA
Source: RNAcentral